UGGCUCAGUUGGUAAAGCAUCUGCUUGCAAUGCAGGAGACCCAGGUUUGAUCCCUGG
RNAcentral lists this transfer RNA (57 nucleotides) under Bos taurus (domestic cattle). It matches the Rfam family "tRNA", at positions 8 to 63 of the family's 71-position model. From Rfam's summary of the family: Transfer RNA (tRNA) molecules are approximately 80 nucleotides in length. RNAcentral also lists the same sequence under 1 other name. The record is from Rfam by way of RNAcentral. Lineage: Eukaryota; Metazoa; Chordata; Mammalia; Artiodactyla; Bovidae.